This 434-nucleotide ribosomal RNA is filed under the name uncultured Fibrobacter sp. RNAcentral's name for it is "partial 16S ribosomal RNA". It matches the Rfam family "Bacterial small subunit ribosomal RNA", at positions 341 to 792 of the family's 1533-position model. The record is from RNAcentral. Lineage: Bacteria; Pseudomonadati; Fibrobacterota; Fibrobacteria; Fibrobacterales; Fibrobacteraceae.
ACGGAAGGCAGCAGUGGGGGAUUUUGCACAAUGGGGGAAACCCUGAUGCAGCGACGCCGCGUGAGUGAAGAAGUAUUUCGAUAUGUAAAGCUCUAUCAGCAGGGAAGAAAAUGACGGUACCUGACUAAGAAGCCCCGGCUAACUACGUGCCAGCAGCCGCGGUAAUACGAGGGGUGCAAGCGUUGUUCGGAAUCACUGGGCGUAAAGGGAGCGCAGGCGGAGAUGCAAGCGGACUGUACAACACCGGGGCCCAACCCCGGACCUGCAGUCCGGACUGCUCCUCUUGGAUAGUUCAGGGGCAAGCGGAAUUCCUGGUGUAGCGGUGGAAUGCGUAGAGAUCAGGAAGAACACCGAUGGCGAAGGCAGCUUGCUGGGGACUAAUCGACGCUCAUGCUCGAAAGUGCGGGUAGCAAACAGGAUUAGAUACCCUGGUA